Molecule: microRNA precursor, 205 nt
Filed under: Oryza glumipatula
Lineage: Eukaryota; Viridiplantae; Streptophyta; Magnoliopsida; Poales; Poaceae
Description: MIR812 microRNA precursor family
Rfam family: MIR812 microRNA precursor family
Source: Rfam by way of RNAcentral
AAAAAGGCAAACCCUGGGUUUCCGUGUCCAACUUUGACUGUCCGUCUUAUAUGAAAUUUUUUUAUAAUUCGUAUUUUUAUUGUUGUUAGAUGAUAAAAUAUGAUUAAUACUUUGUGCGUGACUUGUCUUUUUAAUUUUUUUCAUAAUUUUUUUAAAUAAGACGGACAGUCAAACGUUGGGCACGAAAACCAGGGUUUGUCUUUUU